This 251-nucleotide ribosomal RNA is filed under the name uncultured bacterium. RNAcentral's name for it is "partial 16S ribosomal RNA". It matches the Rfam family "Bacterial small subunit ribosomal RNA", at positions 524 to 776 of the family's 1533-position model. The record is from RNAcentral.
UACGUAGGGGGCAAGCGUUGUCCGGAUUUAUUGGGCGUAAAGAGCGUGUAGGCGGCCAUACAGGUCAGCUGUGAAAACUCGAGGCUCAACCUCGAGACGUCGGUUGAAACCGUAUGGCUAGAGUCCGGAAGAGGAGAGUGGAAUUCCCGGUGUAGCGGUGAAAUGCGCAGAUAUCGGGAAGAACACCCGUGGCGAAGGCGGCUCUCUGGGACGGUACUGACGCUGACGCGAAAGCGUGGGGAGCGAACAGG